UGGGGAAUAUUGCACAAUGGAGGGAACUCUGAUGCAGCGACGCCGCGUGAACGAAGAAGGCUUUCGAGUCGUAAAGUUCUUUUAUAUGGGAAGAUAAUGACGGUACCAUAAGAAAAAGCCCCGGCUAACUACGUGCCAGCAGCCGCGGUAAUACGUAGGGGGCUAGCGUUGUCCGGAAUCACUGGGCGUAAAGGGUUCGCAGGCGGAAAUGCAAGUCAGGUGUAAAAGGCAGUAGCUUAACUACUGUAAGCAUUUGAAACUGCAUAUCUUGAGAAAGGUAGAGGUAAGUGGAAUUUUUAGUGGAGCGGUGAAAUGCGUAGAUAUUAAAAAGAAUACCGGUGGCGAAGGCGACUUACUGGGCUCAUUCUGACGCUGAGGAACGAAAGCGUGGGUAGCAAACAGG
RNAcentral lists this ribosomal RNA (403 nucleotides) under bacterium. Its description in RNAcentral is "partial 16S ribosomal RNA". It matches the Rfam family "Bacterial small subunit ribosomal RNA", at positions 355 to 776 of the family's 1533-position model. The record is from RNAcentral.